UACGAAGGGUGCAAGCGUUACUCGGAAUUACUGGGCGUAAAGCGUGCGUAGGUGGUGAGUUAAGUCUGAUGUGAAAUCCCCGGGCUCAACCUGGGAAUGGCAUUGGAUACUGGCUCGCUAGAGUGCGGUAGAGGGUGGUGGAAUUCCCGGUGUAGCAGUGAAAUGCGUAGAGAUCCGGAGGAACCCCAGAGGCGAAGGCGGCGCCCUGGCUCGCAACUGACGCUCAGACACGACAGCAUGGGGAGCGAACGGG
RNAcentral lists this ribosomal RNA (253 nucleotides) under uncultured bacterium. RNAcentral describes it as "partial 16S ribosomal RNA". It matches the Rfam family "Bacterial small subunit ribosomal RNA", at positions 524 to 776 of the family's 1533-position model. The record is from RNAcentral.